RNAcentral lists this ribosomal RNA (609 nucleotides) under uncultured bacterium. RNAcentral's name for it is "bacterial SSU rRNA". It matches the Rfam family "Bacterial small subunit ribosomal RNA", at positions 97 to 726 of the family's 1533-position model. The record is from RNAcentral.
GGCGGACGGGUGAGUAACGCGUGGGAACGUGCCCUUUUCUUCGGAAUAGCCCUGGGAAACCGGGGGUAAUGCCGGAUACGCCCGCCCAUCGGGAGAUGGGAUGGGGAAAGAUUUAUCGGGGAAGGAUCGGCCCGCGUUGGAUUAGGUAGUUGGUGGGGUAACGGCCCACCAAGCCGACGAUCCAUAGCUGGUUUGAGAGGAUGAUCAGCCACACUGGGACUGAGACACGGCCCAGACUCCUACGGGAGGCAGCAGUGGGGAAUCUUGGACAAUGGGGGCAACCCUGAUCCAGCCAUGCCGCGUGAUCGAUGAAGGCCUUAGGGUUGUAAAGAUCUUUCAGCUGGGAAGAUAAUGACUGUACCAGCAGAAGAAGCCCCGGCUAACUCCGUGCCAGCAGCCGCGGUAAUACGGAGGGGGCUAGCGUUGUUCGGAAUUACUGGGCGUAAAGCGCACGUAGGCGGACCAGCCAGUCAGGGGUGAAAUCCCGGGGCUCAACCCCGGAACUGCCUUUGAUACUGUUGGUCUGGAGGUCGAGAGAGGUGAGUGGAAUUCCGAGUGUAGAGGUGAAAUUCGUAGAUAUUCGGAGGAACACCAGUGGCGAAGGCGGCU